Molecule: ribosomal RNA, 200 nt
Filed under: uncultured bacterium
Lineage: Bacteria
Description: partial 16S ribosomal RNA
Rfam family: Bacterial small subunit ribosomal RNA
Source: RNAcentral
AGAGUUUGAUCCUGGCUCAGAUUGAACGCUGGCGGCAUGCUUUACACAUGCAAGUCGAACGGCAGCGCGGGGGCAACCCUGGCGGCGAGUGGCGAACGGGUGAGUAAUGCAUCGGAACGUAUCCUGUAAUGGGGGAUAACCAGUCGAAAGAUUGGGUAAUACCGCAUACGCUCGAGAGAGGAAAGUGGGGGAUCGCAAGA